This 279-nucleotide ribosomal RNA is filed under the name uncultured bacterium. RNAcentral's name for it is "partial 16S ribosomal RNA". It matches the Rfam family "Bacterial small subunit ribosomal RNA", at positions 506 to 784 of the family's 1533-position model. The record is from RNAcentral.
UGCCAGCAGCCGCGGUAAUACGAAGGGUGCAAGCGUUGUUCGGAUUUAUUGGGCGUAAAGCGCGCGCAGGCGGGAACAGAAGUCAGGUGUGAAAUCUCGGGGCCUAACCCCGAAACUGCGCCUGAAACUUUGUACCUAGAAUAUCGGAGAGGGAAGGGGAAUUUCUCAUGUAGGGGUAAAAUCCGUAGAGAUGAGAAGGAAGACUCGAGGCGAAGGCGCCUUCCUGGACGAUUAUUGACGCUGAGGCGCGAAAGCGUGGGGAGCAAACAGGAUUAGAUA